GAAAAGAAAAAGCUAACUUACAAAAAAAAUUUCUUAUAAAUAUUUACAUUUUUCACUUUUUCUUUCUAUUUUUCAAAAAUCUACAUUUUACCCUCUAACUAUUUUGAGUCGUCGCAUUUACUCCCUCCAUCAAGAUUCCAUCAGUAUUACCAAAAAUACUCUUUAAAAUAAUAAAAUAAAUUAAAAAAAUAUUUUUUUAUAGAAGAAGUAAAGGUAAUUUAGUCAUCUUCUCUCGAUUAACAGCGUGUCCCGCUUAAAAAUAUUUCUUAAAUUUUUUUUAGAGAGAGAGAGAGAUAGGCAACAUGCUAUCAAUUUCGUUUAUUUCAUUUAAAAAUAAACUUACCUGAAAAUAUGAAUCAAUUAUGAUUCAAACUUGGGAUCAAAUAACGAUCGAUUCCUUUUUCAAAAGACUUGAAAAGUGGAGGUUUUGGCCACGUCUCUGAAUAUGGGUAUCAACCAUCGAACAUUUUGCCACUCGCGCUAGGGACAGUCAGAAAAAUAAAAGUAUAAUAGCCAGACCCUAUAUAGUAGCCAUGGCCUAUAGCCAUGAAAACAACUUUUCAACUUUUCAACUUUUCAGGGCGAUUGUACUCAGAAUAGUAUAGGCCAUGGCUACUAUACUAUUAUAAGUAUUGGAGCCCUCGUUCUCAUAAGUUGUUUUCAAUGAUGGAGCUUCUGAAUCGACGAUCUACUCCAUUAAAUAUGAUCUAGAGUAUUUAAAAUUUCUAGAAAAUAAAUUUCGUUAAUUCGAAAUCAUAAUAAAGUCCAUCAAGUGGGCAUAAAAUGAACGGUCGAAAUCGAAUGAUGUCCUAAAAAAGGAUAAUCGGAUUUUUCAAUUCAAGAUCGGAGUUAUUGAUUUUUAUCUAUAUAGUGAAUAGAAUUUUCUAUCAAAAAUUCAACAAAUUCCGAUUCUUUUACACUAUUAAACUAGCAAAUAUUCCAUACCGGCCGUAAAAAAUCGUCAAAUUUAUGACCUCUUGAUCGUAAGGUAAAUGAUGUCGAAAAUUUAUAAAAUUUGACAAUUUUUUAAGGCCGUUUGUGACCUCUUGAUCGUAAGGUAAAUGAUGUCGAAAAUUUAUAAAAUUUGAUUUCUGAAAGUUUUAAAUGCUGUAAAUAACGUUUAACGGUGUGGGUCAUCGAUUCGGAAGCUCUAUCAUCGAAAACAACUUAUGAGUACGAGGGCGAUCGUACUCAUAAUAGUGUAGUAACCGGACGCUCUAUAUAUAUAUAUAUAUAUAUACAUAUAUAUAUAUAUAUAUAUAUAUAUAUGUAUAUAUAUGUAUAUAUGUAUAUAUAUGUAUAUAUGUAUAUAU
Molecule: long non-coding RNA, 1313 nt
Filed under: Ananas comosus (pineapple)
Lineage: Eukaryota; Viridiplantae; Streptophyta; Magnoliopsida; Poales; Bromeliaceae
Description: long non-coding RNA (ACOM_LNC030737)
Source: RNAcentral